Molecule: long non-coding RNA, 1089 nt
Filed under: Homo sapiens (human)
Lineage: Eukaryota; Metazoa; Chordata; Mammalia; Primates; Hominidae
Description: PREDICTED lncRNA (TCONS_00232146)
Source: RNAcentral
GGUCUUUUACGUCGGCCUUCGCGAGCGUCUGGGCGGGUGGUAGGAACAAUGGCGCUGUCUUCAGUGGCACAGUGGAGCAGCUCUGAAGAUGCAAAGUGAGGGUCGCUGUCUGCCCAUUGAUAGAGGCCAGAUUGUCUUGGAAGUUCCAAAGUUGCAACGAUUUCUGGCUAGUGCCACGAGGUUUACUUGACUGUUGUGUGAAAAGCUGAUAAGAAAACCAUCCAGAAAAAAGCUCUUCGUUUUACAAACAUGAAAAUAAAACAUGUAAUUUUGGAUUAUGUUCCUUUUUGUUAUUACUUUUAAAUAGGUCCUGAAAUAACAUGGGGAGCAUUAAAUGGAAAAUCCACUAACCAGCCUUGUAAUCAAAUUACUGUGAGUGAAUGUUUCGGGUUUGUGCAGGGUACAAUGUAAGGGUUUUUGGAUCAGUGUAAGAGUGGAGAGACAGGAAUUAGAAGUAAUUGUUACUAAGCAAAUCAUGGAAUAUUUAGUUUUGAUGUAACUAUAAUUUUGAAAGCCUGGAUGCUUAAGUUGAGAAAUGGGGGAAUGAGAUACAGAAAAUAAGGAGCACAAUAGAAUAAUAAUAGCAGUUUAUUAAGUAUGGUCAUGAGGGAAGGUUACUGAUAAAACAAUCUGGUAAAGACAUUCAGGCUUGCUAAAAUCUAGGAAGAGGUCAUUUGGCAGGAUGGGUUACAUAAUGCUAUCUGAUACUACCAAAUAAAAUGAGAGAGAAGCCUUAGGCAUGUAACGUUUGGAGAUAGAAAAUGUACCUUCACUAUGAAGGUAGUGUGUGUAAGAUGGCAGUUGAAAGCAUUGCUUGUGUUUAUGUUUAUACCCUUGAUCUCUGAUGCCCUUACCUACCGUACUUAAAACUCUGUUAAUCAUUGUCUUUCUCCCCCUCCCACAACUUCUGCAUAAAAUUUUAAGAUCUGUGUUUCAUUAGUUCAAGAGUGCCUAGAAUAGGGCCAGGCACUGUUAUACAGUAUGUGGUAAAAGACUAUUGAGAUUCCAGUUUUCAAGGAAGAGUGCCAUUACCGUUUUGUUAAAGCUGGCAAACAAGACAAAGUUGUGAAAUAGACUGGUUGCUUUGGA